This 420-nucleotide ribosomal RNA is filed under the name Fusobacteriota bacterium. Its description in RNAcentral is "Fusobacteria bacterium partial 16S ribosomal RNA". It matches the Rfam family "Bacterial small subunit ribosomal RNA", at positions 355 to 776 of the family's 1533-position model. The record is from RNAcentral. Lineage: Bacteria; Fusobacteriati; Fusobacteriota.
UGGGGGAUAUUGCACAAUGGGCGAAAGCCUGAUGCAGCGACGCCGCGUGGGGGAUGAAGGCCUUCGGGUUGUAAACUUCUUUUGCUCUGAACAAGGCAUGCCUUUGGGGUGUGUUGAGUGUAGGGGUUGAUUAGCGCCGGCUAACUACAUGCCAGCAGCCGCGGUAAUACGUAGGGCGCGAGCGUUGUCCGGAAUUAUUGGGCGUAAAGGGCUUGUAGGUGGCUGGUUGCGUCUGUCGUGAAAGCUCAUGGCUUAACUGUGGGUUUGCGGUGGGUACGGGCUGGCUUGAGUGCAGUAGGGGAGGCUGGAAUUCCUGGUGUAGCGGUGGAAUGCGCAGAUAUCAGGAGGAAUACCGGUGGCGAAGGCGGGUCUCUGGGCUGUUACUGACGCUGAGGAGCGAAAGCGUGGGGAGCGAACAGG